Long non-coding RNA from Triticum aestivum (bread wheat), 2711 nucleotides. RefSeq lists it as uncharacterized. The transcript has 5 exons. The record is from RefSeq and is a predicted model, not a curated record. NCBI's taxonomy places the organism in Eukaryota, Viridiplantae, Streptophyta, Magnoliopsida, Poales, Poaceae.
CCCUCGACUACCUGUCCCAGCCCUCCUCCUUGCGUCGCCGCGGGUCUCGGCCUCCCUCCUCCCUUCGUCCAAGGUAAAGGGAGAGCACAUUGGUGGUCGUCGUGGCCAGGCCGGGGGAGCCGCCGUAGAGCCUCCACGUCGUCGGAGCAGAGCAGCCCGACAGAAGGUGGGUGCCGAUCUCGUCCCGCAGAUCACCGUCUGGCGACUCCUCGGAAGCCGACCCUUCUACUCCUCGGAAGCCGACGUACGGAAUCCUCUACUACUCCAUCAGUGGCUGACCAUGGACUCCUCUGGCGACUCCUCGGAAGCCGACCCUUCCCACGAGCCCUCUACUGCCAGCCUCCCUUCACUGCGGACCCUCAUAAUUAAGGAUGGUGGUACACUGAUCCUCAAGACCACGGCUGGCCAGCACAUUAAUAGAAGCUCUGGAUGUUCGUGUUCAUCAUAUGUGCUUCUCUCCCUCCUUUCUUUUGAUUAUUUCUCUAUACUUCAUCUUCUGACUGGUGUUAGCAUGUAUACUACCAGGAAGAAAUAGGGCGAGCGACCCUUUGAGGUAGCAACAGCCAAAUAAAACAUUCUUUUUGCAAGGAGGAAGAGACCUGGUAGCAUCCAUUUGGGUGACUGAAAAAUAUUGUGUGACACAUCUAUGUCAAUCACAUGCUUUGUUAUUGCAGGAAAAUAACAUCAAAGAAAGAAGAUGAUUUAAUAAAGAAGCACACCAGGAUGUGGUUGAUAAGAUGAAAGACUUUGUAAUAAACCAGUUGUAGGGUGGAAGUCGUCGAUGUUGUUCAAUAGUAUGCUGCCCCUAGAGGGGAAGCCGUGCGUGUGCCCAGUGAGGAGAAGCAGCGAGGGCUCUAGUUGUGAGAGGCUGAAGCUUGGGGACGAUUACAUCAUGCACAAGAGGGCAUAGAGGAGGUUCUCUGAACAUCCUUCCGGAUGAAUUAUGACGAUCCAAACGAGGUUGUAGCAGUUAUACUGGGCAGUAGCACUGGGACUCAGAUUUUCCCUCCUACAAGCACAAGAGGUGCACCUACUGUUCCUGUUGGAAAGGCUUAUUAAUAUUCCAAUGAGCAACUACUUAAGCAGAGGCGCAAACAAGAUAUUCAUCAUAACUUGGUUUAAAUCAACUUUCUUAAUGGUCACAUUCAUCGCACAUACCUUGGCAAGGGAAUCAAGUUCACUUAUGGAUAUGCUGAUGUAAUUCUCCCCAGCUUGCAAAGACAUCAACCAAGACGUGCUUAUGAAGUCACAAGCUCAUGUCAGGACACAUCUUACUCUGAGUUGUCCUUGAACUUAAUAAAUGUGGUUUACCAAGGAGAAGAGCUUAAUGGAUGUGGUGUAACAAUACAAUUCCUGUCAAUAGAAGCAUCCCCACCACUUCUCGCUUGUUGUAGGUUUUAGAAACUAGACACCAAUUGAUAUUGCUUUGUUAAACUAAGAUGUGCUAUUAUCAUUUUUUGCUUCCUUUCUAAUCAUUGUGUCUCGGUUUAUCAUUUUAUUUUCUGUAGAUUCAGUGGGUCCUGGCUCUAGCUAAUUGAUCUUUGACAUGGGUUUCAUUGCAUGCUAAUUUUCCUUCCAAAUUCCUCACUGAUGGCAUACCAUGCACCACAAUUCAUCUUUUGAUAAAUAAAUCUGUUAGGUACAUAGUUAUCAUGUCUGCUGUCUUUUGGUUAUGUUUCAAAUUUGAAUUUGUCAAGUUGAGUUGUUUUCUACAUGAGAUUGCGAGGUAGGGUGGCAUAUUUAAGUUUGUAGAGCAUGGAUAUUGCGAUUAUGAACUUAAUUUAGUCAUCUUGCCCAUGAAAUUUGCAUAUUAUAAUAUAAUCAUAUAUAUUAUAACAGAAAGUUGCUUGCUAUAAGAAAUGCUAAUGGUACCUUUGUUGUUGAUACAUUCUAAAGUCUUGCUGAACAGGGGCUUCCUUUAAUGUUCUGUCACCUCCUUUCUACAGUUACAAUAUCCUGAUUUUAUGAAACAAACAAAUGAACAUGGUAAUUGCACCAAUAGAAAAUAUGGUCCUUUGGAUUUCAGGUACACAAGAACAACAGAAAAUAGAAAGAUACAGAUGCGCUCGAAAGCAGAUUACUAAGCCUCAACACUUCAUGUAGGAAGGAUAUACAUAUAAACACAUAACUGAAGGCAUCGAGGUCCUCAACCACGACUGAACAAGGAACACGGAAGCAUGCCGGCUCUAGAGAGGGAAUGAAGAUGCACUGUCAAGGCAUGCCAUCACCAAACACUAAGGCCCUUGGCACGACACAUCCAUCCAACUAAGUCUCCGAAGGAGGCCACAACCUCCUUGCCUGGAUCGCAAGGCACCACACCGUCGGAAGAUCAGAAAGUUCCCCAAUAACAUGGAUGGAUGCCGCCGGGUGGUCACUUAGAUCAGAUCAGGACACAUCAAAUGUGCCGAGGCUCUCCAAAAGCAUGACGAAUGCCACACAGCCCAAGGCCAGAACACGGCGAAGGAAAAGCACAAGCUUCGGCGCCACAAUCCCGGCUGCACCUCUCCUAUGGCGGUGAGGAGGGAGGGUUACACUGGAGGGAGGGCGACGCAUGGGAGGGGGCUGUGUCCACAUGUGGUGCUAAGUUAUUUGUGGGUUACACUGAAGCUUAUCCUGUUCCUUAGUUGAUUUAGACAUCAAAUAUAUAAGCUUUGUUAUUUGUCAGCAAACAGGUGAACUAAUAAAGGAAGACUUCUUACAUAAAUAGUAGU